RNAcentral lists this transfer RNA (72 nucleotides) under Beijerinckia sp. 28-YEA-48. It matches the Rfam family "tRNA". From Rfam's summary of the family: Transfer RNA (tRNA) molecules are approximately 80 nucleotides in length. The record is from Rfam by way of RNAcentral. Lineage: Bacteria; Pseudomonadati; Pseudomonadota; Alphaproteobacteria; Hyphomicrobiales; Beijerinckiaceae.
GGGCGAUUAGCUCAGCGGGAGAGCACUCCCUUCACACGGGAGGGGUCGCAGGUUCGAUCCCUGCAUCGCCCA